Molecule: long non-coding RNA, 506 nt
Filed under: Cucumis sativus (cucumber)
Lineage: Eukaryota; Viridiplantae; Streptophyta; Magnoliopsida; Cucurbitales; Cucurbitaceae
Description: long non-coding RNA (CSAT_LNC000647)
Source: RNAcentral
CACCAACGCCGGUGUAUGAAAAGCCACUUCCACCACCUGUUCCAGUUUAUGAAAAACCUGUUCCACCACCUACACCGGUAUAUGAAAAGCCACUUCCACCACCUGUUCCUGUUUAUGAAAAACCUCUUCCCCCACCUACACCGGUCUAUGAAAAACCACUUCCACCGCCUACUCCAGUUUAUGAAAAACCUCAUCCUCCGCCUACACCUGUCUAUGAAAAGCCACUUCCACCGCCUGUUCCUGUUUAUGAAAAACCUCUUCCCCCACCUACACCGGUCUAUGAAAAACCACUUCCACCGCCUACUCCAGUUUAUGAAAAACCUCAUCCUCCGCCUACACCUGUCUAUGAAAAGCCACUUCCACCGCCUGUUCCUGUGUAUGUAAAGCCUAUUCCUCCACCUACUCCGAUCUAUGAAAAGCCACUUCCACCUCCUGUUCCGGUUUAUAAAAAACCUGUUCCUCCACCUACACCAGUCUAUGAAAAGCCACAUCCACCGCCUGUUUAU